CUUUUCAGGACGGCGAGUUGUGUUUGUUCCGUGUAGGGAUUAUAAUAAUAAACGUAAGACGGUUCACGAUAAUGUUGCUAUAUUUCUUCUUGUUCGAUCACCAGACAAAACAUCUAUAACGUACAAAUAUAUAUAAGGUUCACUCUUUCUUUUAGUUGUGUUAUGGUUACUUUUUGUUUCUUAUGUUAAGUUUGAGGUUCUUAUUUUUACUAGAUGUUGUCGAUUCAGAGUUGGAAAUUUGAAUGAAUCUGCCUUCUGAAACUCCUUCUUUUAUAGACAGUAUCAGCCAAUCAGGCAGCACGUUAUGAAAUCCAGACCAAUGAAAACAAUCGUUACAAAAUGACAUUGGCGUUCUAAAAUGAAUGAUUCCGAGAAAAUUUGGCUUCUGAUGCAAAACUACAAUUAUUUACAAUUUAUGAUGUGGCGUUUACUUGAUAUUUAGAAAGAACAAUAUUUUAUGAAUAAAAUGGCACCACAUAUGGUUUCAAUAGACAAAAAUGUGAUAUCAAACGCCGGUUUCCAAAAUAGACAUUGACAGCUUCCAAACAAGAUGGCGGAUGAGAAAUACAAUUGACAAGAGAUCCUUCAUAUUGUGGAAUAAUACACUUCCUCAAGUAAUAUUUGCUCACUGUACCACAAUGGCCGUCUUCUCUACAACACCGCCGUCCACGACGCCCUCGUACAUCUCCACUAAAGCAACCGCCUGCGUAACAGACUGGCAACCCUCGCUGAUACACUUAAACUUAAGUUCUGGGCUGAUCGAUUUGUAAAACUGGUUUAGUGCAAGCAUUUCCUGCGCCUGAUUACCGAAGUCUGGGUAUGCACGCUGAGUCAUGCAUUUUAGGUCA
Dreissena polymorpha is the source of this 848-nucleotide long non-coding RNA. RefSeq lists it as uncharacterized. NCBI's taxonomy places the organism in Eukaryota, Metazoa, Mollusca, Bivalvia, Myida, Dreissenidae. The record is from RefSeq and is a predicted model, not a curated record. The transcript is spliced from 3 exons.